ACUGGUUUCGACGGGGGUCGCGAAGUCGCUUGGCGCAUGCCGAGGGGGCAGCUUUCCUCGUUAAUCCAGCAGCAAACUUUUAGUUGCCAACGAUGACAACUACGGUUCGGACUUCGCUAUCGCCGCUUAAUUGGCUUUAGUUGUCGUUCUACAGCCGCCUAAGGCGAACCCCCGAACCUACUUGUGCCCGUGCUCGUAGGUGUAGGGUC
RNAcentral lists this transfer-messenger RNA (209 nucleotides) under Vibrio parahaemolyticus. RNAcentral's name for it is "partial transfer-messenger RNA". It matches the Rfam family "transfer-messenger RNA", at positions 10 to 187 of the family's 374-position model. From Rfam's summary of the family: Bacterial tmRNA, also known as 10Sa RNA or SsrA, is named for its dual tRNA and mRNA-like properties. Its role is to liberate the mRNA from a stalled ribosome. To accomplish this part of the tmRNA is used as a reading frame that ends in a translation stop signal. Lineage: Bacteria; Pseudomonadati; Pseudomonadota; Gammaproteobacteria; Vibrionales; Vibrionaceae. The record is from RNAcentral.